AUGAUUUGCUUCAGGCCACAGGCGCUGGGGUGCUGGAUGCCACCCGAAGCGUUGCGUAGAAGCGUCCCCGUGCUGCGGGUGCUGCGGUUACCACGGCGGUGCCAAAGCAGAGCCCGAGCAGCAGAGAAGGAGGCUCCUGCCUCACCCUGCCGCGGGGCUGCGGUGCUAAUGGGGCCGUUGCUCUGCCUCACAGGCCCUGACGAACCUCUACCUUCAUUUUGCAGGCUGCGGAGGAAGAACAAGGUCUGCGUGAUGGCUUGUGCAGCGGUGAAUAUGAAUGCUCAACUCUGGCAGGGCUUAACUUUGUGUAUGAAGAGGGAAAAAAAAAUCCUGUGUGCUUCUUUAAUACACAGAUGGUUUCCCAAGCAUUGA
RNAcentral lists this long non-coding RNA (372 nucleotides) under Anser brachyrhynchus (Pink-footed goose). RNAcentral describes it as "lncRNA (ENSABRG00000006058.1)". The record is from RNAcentral. Lineage: Eukaryota; Metazoa; Chordata; Aves; Anseriformes; Anatidae.